CCUACGGGAGGCAGCAGUAGGGAAUCUUCCGCAAUGGACGAAAGUCUGACGGAGCAACGCCGCGUGAACGAUGAAGGCCUUCGGGUCGUAAAGUUCUGUUGUUAGGGAAGAACAAGUGCUAGUUAAAUAAGCUGGCACCUUGACGGUACCUAACCAGAAAGCCACGGCUAACUACGUGCCAGCAGCCGCGGUAAUACGUAGGUGGCAAGCGUUGUCCGGAAUUAUUGGGCGUAAAGCGCGCGCAGGCGGUUUCUUAAGUCUGAUGUGAAAGCCCCCGGCUCAACCGGGGAGGGUCAUUGGAAACUGGGAAACUUGAGUGCAGAAGAGGAAAGUGGAAUUCCAAGUGUAGCGGUGAAAUGCGUAGAGAUUUGGAGGAACACCAGUGGCGAAGGCGACUUUCNGGUCUGUAACUGACGCUGAGGCGCGAAGGCGUGGGGAGCAAACAGGGAUUAGAUACCCUGGUAGUCCACGCUGUAAACGAUGAGUGCUAAGUGUUAGAGGGUUUCCGCCCUUUAGUGCUGAAGUUACGCAUUAAGCACUCCGCCUGGGGAGUACGGUCGCAAGAUUGAAACUCAAAGAGUAGUACGACGNGNGAGAGCGACGACGACGACGACGGAGGAGGAG
Molecule: ribosomal RNA, 624 nt
Filed under: uncultured bacterium
Lineage: Bacteria
Description: bacterial SSU rRNA
Rfam family: Bacterial small subunit ribosomal RNA
Source: RNAcentral